UAGGGAAUUUUCCACAAUGGGCGAAAGCCUGAUGGAGCGACGCCGCGUGCAGGAUGAAGGCCUUCGGGUUGUAAACUGCUUUUAAUAGUGAAGAUUAUGACGGUAACUAUUGAAUAAGGACCUGCUAACUACGUGCCAGCAGCCGCGGUCAUACGUAGGGUCCAAGCGUUAUCCGGAAUUACUGGGCGUAAAGAGUUGCGUAGGUGGCAUAGAAAGCGGACAGUGAAAGCGUGUGGCUCAACCAUACAUCCAUUGUUCUGAACUCCUAAGCUAGAGAACGAGAGAGGUAGAUGGAAUUCCUGAUGUAGGGGUAAUAUCCGUAGAUAUCAGGAGGAACACCGAUGGCGUAGGCAGUCUACUGGCUCGUUUCUGACACUAAGGCACGAAAGCGUGGGGAGCAAACAGG
Molecule: ribosomal RNA, 406 nt
Filed under: uncultured bacterium
Lineage: Bacteria
Description: bacterial SSU rRNA
Rfam family: Bacterial small subunit ribosomal RNA
Source: RNAcentral